This 492-nucleotide ribosomal RNA is filed under the name uncultured bacterium. RNAcentral describes it as "partial 16S ribosomal RNA". It matches the Rfam family "Bacterial small subunit ribosomal RNA", at positions 29 to 507 of the family's 1533-position model. The record is from RNAcentral.
AGUGAACGCUGGCGGUAGGCCUAACACAUGCAAGUCGAACGGCAGCACAGUAAGAGCUUGCUCUUACGGGUGGCGAGUGGCGGACGGGUGAGGAAUACAUCGGAAUCUACUUUUUCGUGGGGGAUAACGUAGGGAAACUUACGCUAAUACCGCAUACGACCUACGGGUGAAAGCAGGGGAUCUUCGGACCUUGCGCGAUUGAAUGAGCCGAUGUCGGAUUAGCUAGUUGGCGGGGUAAAGGCCCACCAAGGCGACGAUCCGUAGCUGGUCUGAGAGGAUGAUCAGCCACACCGGAACUGAGAAACGGUCCAGACUCCUACGGGAGGCAGCAGCGGGGAAUAUUGGACAAUGGGCGCAAGCCUGAUCCAGCCAUACCGCGUGGGUGAAGGAGGCCUUCGGGUUGUAAAGCCCUUUUGUUGGGAAAGAAAAGCAGCAGGUUAAUACCCCGCUGUUCUGACGGUACCCAAAGAAUAAGCACCGGCUAACUUCGUG